CCCUGUAUCGAAAGUGGCCGUGGCGUCCGCGUCGCCUCGGUCAUUGAUAGUACAGGGAGACCAAGCGUGCGAGCCUUUCCCGUGUCUGCAGGACCAUCAGUUCCUGACGGACCCUGGCGCUCGCAUACA
Small nucleolar RNA from Scophthalmus maximus (turbot), 129 nucleotides. Its record names the gene SNORA71. It matches the Rfam family "Small nucleolar RNA SNORA71". Rfam says of the family: The members of this family belong to the H/ACA class of snoRNAs which bind a number of proteins (including dyskerin, Gar1p and Nop10p) to form snoRNP complexes. This class of snoRNAs are thought to guide the sites of modification of uridines to pseudouridines by forming direct base pairing interactions with substrate RNAs. Lineage: Eukaryota; Metazoa; Chordata; Actinopteri; Pleuronectiformes; Scophthalmidae. The record is from Ensembl.